UGGGGUCUUGACUUGUAAAGCAAAAGUGCAGAGGGACUGAAAUACUGAAAACAAUUAUUAUAUACACACACAACAUGGACGUAUCAGUUGAACAAAACUAUCGGGUCUCACCACCCCACUUUUGCCUAUUCUCAAUGUAAAAAAGGAAGAAAGAGAGAGAGAGAGAGAGAGAGAGAGAGAGAGAGAGAGAGAGAGACGUACAAAUUGUGGGGGAUUCUGGGAGUUCCUUUCAAAAUUUUGGUCUGGGCACUGAAUUUUAAUGGUGUGGGGCAGAGUAGUGGGCCAAGUAGCUCGCGGCUUCUUUCUGGAAGGGGAAACACAACAUGACUGGGAGAGAGAGAGAGAGAGAGAGAGAGAGAGAGAGAGACGUACAAAUUGCUUUAACAAAGAAAGAGUGGCUGGAUGGAAACCGAGCUACUCCUUCGGGCCUUGGCAUUCCCUCCUCCCUCCCACCAUAUGUGAAGAUUCCAUUACAGUUGGUGUAAAAAAGGAGACAUCCAGCAGAACAGUAUCCACCUCCUUUGGCUGCAGCUGAAACCGAACCAUCUCCUAGGAGUCUUUUGCUCAUUUCCAGGCAGUCACCUCCAUCUCUUUAGGUCCCGGUGGAAACAGCUGCUCAACAGCGACACAAAGAACCUCAAACCCUCCCCAUGUUUACAUACAGGCUAGCAAGCUGCGUUCUUUCUGUCGUUACUUUCACACUUCUUGCGGUUGCUCAGUUUACGAAGGGAUGGGCGAUAUACGAAGAAGAUCCUGUGCAUCCCAUCUAUACUGGCUUAUGGACCGUCUGCCCAGAUGAGGAGUGCAAUUUCAUCAUAGUCAGAGAAACAAACUUGGACUUCGUCCGGGCCUUCAUGAUUGUGGCCCUCUUUACUUGUUUCCUGGCUAUACUGUGCUCAACAGAAUGGGAGCCUCUCAUUACCUGCACUGAGGAUUUUUUCCCAAAAGGCCCCCUUGCUGCUGUUUUCAGCUUUCUCACCGGUAAGACUGUCAACAAUCAGAACUUACUGGGAGAAAUUUUUUUCACAGCUGAGAGGAGAAAC
This 1043-nucleotide long non-coding RNA is filed under the name Pogona vitticeps (central bearded dragon). RNAcentral describes it as "lncRNA (ENSPVIG00000019100.1)". The record is from RNAcentral. Lineage: Eukaryota; Metazoa; Chordata; Lepidosauria; Squamata; Agamidae.